Molecule: non-coding RNA, 200 nt
Organism: Caenorhabditis elegans
Lineage: Eukaryota; Metazoa; Nematoda; Chromadorea; Rhabditida; Rhabditidae
Source: Ensembl
AUCGGCUAGUGUCAUUGGUCCCAACGGUGAAAUUUCCAUAUUGCCUUUCUUAUGGCCUUUUUUUUGUUGAGAAGAUCUUAGUGUAUGGGUUUUCGAGAAAUAUUAAGAGGAAACAAGAAAGGAAGACCUCCUUUCAAGUUUUUAUGCUCCUGACGUUUAGCAGAUGCGGCGACGGCGACGGCGCCAAGUGACUCCUUGGG